GACGAACGCUGGCGGCGUGCUUAACACAUGCAAGUCGAACGGAAAGGCCCUGCUUUUGUGGGGUGCUCGAGUGGCGAACGGGUGAGUAACACGUGAGUAACCUGCCCUUGACUUUGGGAUAACUUCAGGAAACUGGGGCUAAUACCGGAUAGGAGCUCCUGCUGCAUGGUGGGGGUUGGAAAGUUUCGGCGGUAGGGGGUGGACGCGGGGCUUAUCAGCUUGUUGGGGGGGUAGUGGCUUACCAAGGCUUUGACGGGUAGCCGGCCUGAGAGGGUGACCGGCCACAUUGGGACUGAGAUACGGCCCAGACUCGUACGGGAGGCAGCAGUGGGGAAUAUUGCACAAUGGGGGGAAGCCUGAAGCAGCAACGCCGCGUGCGGGAUGACGGCCUUCGGGGUGUAAACCGCUUUAGCCUGUGACGAAGCGUGAGUGACGGUAAUGGGUAAAGAAGCACCGGCUAACUACGUG
Molecule: ribosomal RNA, 468 nt
Filed under: uncultured bacterium
Lineage: Bacteria
Description: partial 16S ribosomal RNA
Rfam family: Bacterial small subunit ribosomal RNA
Source: RNAcentral